UACGGAGGGUGCAAGCGUUAUCCGGAUUCACUGGGUUUAAAGGGUGCGUAGGUGGGUUGGUAAGUCAGUGGUGAAAUCUCCGAGCUUAACUUGGAAACUGCCAUUGAUACUAUCAGUCUUGAAUAUUGUGGAGGUUAGCGGAAUAUGUCAUGUAGCGGUGAAAUGCUUAGAUAUGACAUAGAACACCAAUUGCGAAGGCAGCUAGCUACACAUAUAUUGACACUGAGGCACGAAAGCGUGGGGAUCAAACAGG
This 253-nucleotide ribosomal RNA is filed under the name uncultured bacterium. RNAcentral describes it as "partial 16S ribosomal RNA". It matches the Rfam family "Bacterial small subunit ribosomal RNA", at positions 524 to 776 of the family's 1533-position model. The record is from RNAcentral.